This 497-nucleotide ribosomal RNA is filed under the name uncultured bacterium. Its description in RNAcentral is "partial 16S ribosomal RNA". It matches the Rfam family "Bacterial small subunit ribosomal RNA", at positions 28 to 507 of the family's 1533-position model. The record is from RNAcentral.
GAUGAACGCUGGCGGCGUGCCUAAUACAUGCAAGACGAGCGAACAGACGAGGAGCUUGCUCCUCUGACGUUAGCGGCGGACGGGUGAGUAACACGUGGAUAACCUACCUAUAAGACUGGGAUAACUUCGGGAAACCGGAGCUAAUACCGGAUAAUAUAUUGAACCGCAUGGUUCAAUAGUGAAAGACGGUUUUGCUGUCACUUAUAGAUGGAUCCGCGCCGCAUUAGCUAGUUGGUAAGGUAACGGCUUACCAAGGCAACGAUGCGUAGCCGACCUGAGAGGGUGAUCGGCCACACUGGAACUGAGACACGGUCCAGACUCCUACGGGAGGCAGCAGUAGGGAAUCUUCCGCAAUGGGCGAAAGCCUGACGGAGCAACGCCGCGUGAGUGAUGAAGGUCUUCGGAUCGUAAAACUCUGUUAUUAGGGAAGAACAAAUGUGUAAGUAACUAUGCACGUCUUGACGGUACCUAAUCAGAAAGCCACGGCUAACUACGUG